This is a non-coding RNA of Bombyx mori (domestic silkworm), 144 nucleotides long. The record is from RefSeq and is marked provisional. Lineage: Eukaryota; Metazoa; Arthropoda; Insecta; Lepidoptera; Bombycidae.
UUCGGAUCCUUCUCCAGUUUCUAUUUCACGGACGUCAGGCGAUUUAAUGCGGCUUCAAAGUUGUUGGGCAUCUUCGGGUUCUCCUCUCCUCUCCCCGCAGUGCGGUCUCGUAGCGGCCGUCGGGUCGUUGCUGGGUGGAAUCCC